Molecule: ribosomal RNA, 3408 nt
Filed under: Triticum aestivum (bread wheat)
Lineage: Eukaryota; Viridiplantae; Streptophyta; Magnoliopsida; Poales; Poaceae
Description: partial small subunit ribosomal RNA
Source: RNAcentral
AUGGCGGCGUCCGUGGACGCGGCUGCGGCCGUGGCCGCGCCAGCUCCCGCGCCGCCCGUCGCCGCGCCCGAGGAGGCCGGCGGGGGCGACGCGGAGCAGGCCAGGAUCCUCAUCGGGGCGCUCAACCUUCUGUCGCGCAACCUCCCGCUUCCACCCGCCGUCCUGCGCGCGGUCUCGUCCAUCUACCACGGCGGCGAAGACGCGGACCAGGAGGAGGAGGAGGAAGGGGCCGAGGGCCCGUCGCUGGUCGGGGAUGAAGGCGGAGAGGGGGAUCCCGCUGACGCCGUCGAUGCGGCCGAGGUGCGUGCCGGUGCUUCUCCACUAUGCGGCGCGUUUCGGUUGGAUGCUCUGGCGUCGUGUAGCUCGAUGGGGACUCUGGUGCCGGGGUUUGGUCUGGAAGCCACCUUGAUUCAAGAGCUUGAAGAUUCUAUAUAUAGAAACCAAAUGACGCACAUGUCGUCCUCAAAGUUGACUGCUCUAAAAGAAGAACGCUUCAAUACCUGCAUCCAGCAUCGGUUAUCUGAACUCGAAGGGUUACCAUCUACUAGGGGUGAAGAUUUGCAAAUGAAGUGUUUACUCGAAUUAUAUGGGCUCAAGUUACUAGACUUGCAGAAGAAAGUACGGUCUGAUGUCAAUGCUGAAUACUGGCUACACAAGAAAUGUGCGCAUCCUGAGAGGCAAUUGUUUGACUGGGGGAUGAUGAGGAUACGAUAUCCUUUUACCAUGUAUGGAAUAGGGGAUGGUUUUUCAAUGGAUACCGAUGAUAUCCAUCGCAAAAAGAGAUUCACCGAGAGGAUCUCAAAGCUUGAAGAGGAGGAAAAGAACCAGGCUGAGACCAGGAAGAGAAGAUUUUUUACAGAAAUUCUUAAUGCUGCUAGGGAAUAUCAAGUGCAAACAUCGGCUACUUACAAACGAAGAAAGCAACGUAAUGAUGGAGUUCAGGCAUGGCAUGUCCGGGCGCGCCAGCGUAUCAAUCGACUUGAAAAAAGUAGGUUACAAGUUUUGAAAGCAGGUGAUCAAGAAGCGUAUAUGCGGAUGGUUGAGGAGAGCAAGAAUGAACGGCUGACGAUGCUCCUUGAUAAGACAAAUGAGCUUCUAGAAGGAAUUGGGAAAGCUGUACAGCGACAAAAAGAUGCUGAGCAUGUUAGUCGUCCUGAAGGGUCUGAAGACUCAGAAUCUGAUGAAUCCCCUGAGGAGUCUCCUUCAGAUGAUGAUGCAGAUACACACGGUUCUGCAAAUACUAGUAAAUUUAAUGCUGCUGGCCGUAGGCUUGAUUCUACUGUCCAUUCCAUCGAAGAGAAGGUAACAGAACAACCGUCAGCCCUUGUAGGUGGGGAGUUGAGACCAUAUCAGUUAGAGGGUCUCCAAUGGAUGCUUUCUUUAUUCAACAACAAUUUGAAUGGCAUUCUGGCUGAUGAAAUGGGUUUGGGGAAAACAAUUCAGACCAUAGCUUUGAUCGCUUAUCUUUUGGAAAAGAAGGAGGUCACAGGACCUCACUUAAUAGUAGCUCCCAAAGCAGUACUACCAAACUGGUCUAAUGAGUUCAAAACAUGGGCUCCCAGUAUUGGUACAAUUCUGUAUGAUGGUCGUCCAGAUGAGAGGAAAUCUCUCAGGGAAACAAAUUUUGGAGGACAAUUUAAUGUUCUGCUCACACACUAUGAUUUGAUACUGAAAGAUAAGAAGUUCCUGAAGAAGGUUCACUGGCACUAUUUGAUAGUUGAUGAAGGACAUCGCUUGAAAAAUCAUGAAUGUGCUCUUGCUCGCACACUAGUUUCCGGAUAUUUGAUCCGCCGCAGACUACUUUUGACUGGCACUCCAAUCCAAAAUAGCCUACAGGAGCUGUGGUCAUUGCUCAACUUUAUUCUGCCAAAUAUUUUUAAUUCAUCUGGGAAUUUUGAGGAAUGGUUUAAUGCACCGUUUGCAUGUGAUGUUAGCAUUAAUGAUGAGGAAGAGCUAUUGAUCAUACAUCGUUUGCAUCAAGUUUUGCGUCCAUUUUUGCUCCGUAGGAAAAAAGAUGAAGUGGAAAAGUAUCUCCCUUCAAAAACACAAGUAAUACUGAAGUGUGACUUUUCAGCUUGGCAAAAAGCAUACUACGAGCAAGUCGCAAGCAAGGGAAAGGUUGCCCUAGGAUCUGGACUCAAACCAAAGGCUGUGGCAAACCUAUCGAUGCAGCUUAGGAAGUGCUGCAAUCAUCCUUACUUAUUUGUAGAGCAAUAUAACAUGUAUCAGCGCGAGGAGAUUGUUAGAGCAUCAGGGAAGUUUGAAUUGCUCGAUCGGCUACUUCCAAAACUGCAUAGGGCUGGUCACAGGGUUCUGCUUUUUUCUCAGAUGACAAGAUUGCUUAAUAUUUUGGAAGUAUAUUUGCAGAUGUACAAUUUCAAGUAUAUGAGGCUUGAUGGAUCAACGAAAACUGAAGAACGAGGGAAAUUAUUGGCAGAUUUUAAUAAGGACUCAGAAUACUUCAUUUUUCUUCUCAGCACACGAGCUGGAGGCCUUGGAUUGAACUUGCAGACUGCAGAUACAGUUAUUAUUUUUGAUAGUGAUUGGAAUCCUCAGAUGGAUCAGCAAGCUGAAGACCGUGCUCAUCGUAUAGGACAGAAAAAUGAAGUGCGUGUAUUUGUUCUUGUUAGUGUUGGAUCAAUUGAAGAAGAGAUCUUGGAUCGUGCAAAACAGAAGAUGGGUAUUGAUGCAAAAGUUAUCCAGGCUGGGUUGUUCAACAACACCUCCACAGCUCAGGAUAGGAAAGCGUUGCUGCAGGAGAUCUUGAAGAGAGGAACUAGUACACUUGGAACUGACAUCCCUAGUGAGCGUGAAAUAAAUCGUUUGGCUGCUCGAACUGAGGAGGAGUUCUGGUUAUUUGAGAAGAUGGAUGAAGAGAGGCGACGACGAGAAAACUAUAAAUCCAGGCUGAUGCAGGGACCUGAGGUCCCAGAAUGGGUUUUUGAUAUCAGUGAAACCUUAGCUGAGAAGCUCCUUGCGGAAGAAGCCAAAAAUCCUGUGAUAAACACAAAGAGGCGAAGAAAGGAGGUUGUCUAUUCGGACUCUUAUGUUGAUCAAUGGAUGAAAUCUGACGAGGUAUACGAAGACAUCCCAAAGAUGACUCCAAGAGCAAAACGGAGUGCUUAUUUAUCCGAUAUACAGGAGGUUGAUUUACAUGAUAGGGCAAAAAGGCUCAAAUAUUCUGAAAGCGCCGAUGGCGCAGGCAACUCAACCUGGACACCAGAGAAAGGAAGACCUGGAGUUUCUUCCUACAGCAAGGAUGAGAAUGAAGACGACAACGACGAAGAUGAAGUCACCGCCGGUGGUUUGCAGCAGGGUGGUAGCUUCACCUGGAAUACCCUCAGGAGGAAAAGGUCAAGCCACUCCACUAAUCCGUCGUCAGACCCUAAAGGGCGCUCGGCAUUUUAA